RNAcentral lists this long non-coding RNA (233 nucleotides) under Lathyrus oleraceus (garden pea). Its description in RNAcentral is "Pisum sativum (pea) long non-coding RNA (PSAT_LNC040602)". The record is from RNAcentral. Lineage: Eukaryota; Viridiplantae; Streptophyta; Magnoliopsida; Fabales; Fabaceae.
AAUUUUGCUGGGGGUAUUUGGCUGUGCAUGCGAAUGACUGUUGUGUUUUUUUUUAAAUUCCCGUUUUUGUGGGGAGUGUUAUGCAUGAGUAUGUUAAUGACUGGUAUGACUAUUUCUUUUAAUUUUCUGUUUGGUAGGAAAACCACUUAUGAAUGAUUUAUAUGAUGCAUGUUAGAAUGCAAAUGGGUAAUCAGAUAUGCCCCGGUUAUGACAUUUUUGCUUUGGGGUAUGAU